GAGUUACUGANCCUUCGGGGAANGUUAACGGCGUCGAGCGGCGGACGGGUGAGUAAUGCCUGGGAAAUUGCCCUGAUGUGGGGGAUAACCAUUGGAAACGAUGGCUAAUACCGCAUAAUAGCUUCGGCUCAAAGAGGGGGACCUUCGGGCCUCUCGCGUCAGGAUAUGCCCAGGUGGGAUUAGCUAGUUGGUGAGGUAAGGGCUCACCAAGGCGACGAUCCCUAGCUGGUCUGAGAGGAUGAUCAGCCACACUGGAACUGAGACACGGUCCAGACUCCUACGGGAGGCAGCAGUGGGGAAUAUUGCACAAUGGGCGCAAGCCUGAUGCAGCCAUGCCGCGUGUAUGAAGAAGGCCUUCGGGUUGUAAAGUACUUUCAGCAGUGAGGAAGGUGGAGUCGUUAAUAGCGGCCUCNUUUGACGUUAGCUGCAGAAGAAGCACCGGCUAACUCCGUGCCAGCAGCCGCGGUAAUACGGAGGGUGCGAGCGUUAAUCGGAAUUACUGGGCGUANAGCGCAUGCAGGUGGUUUGUUAAGUCAGAUGUGAAAGCCCGGGGCUCAACCUCGGAAUUGCAUUUGAAACUGGCAGACUAGAGUACUGUAGAGGGGGGUAGAAUUUCAGGUGUAGCGGUGAAAUGNGUAGAGAUCUGAAGGAAUACCGGUGGCGAANGCGGCCCCCUGNACAGAUACUGACACUCANAUGCGA
This 702-nucleotide ribosomal RNA is filed under the name Vibrio sp. HR08-37. RNAcentral's name for it is "bacterial SSU rRNA". It matches the Rfam family "Bacterial small subunit ribosomal RNA", at positions 69 to 756 of the family's 1533-position model. Lineage: Bacteria; Pseudomonadati; Pseudomonadota; Gammaproteobacteria; Vibrionales; Vibrionaceae. The record is from RNAcentral.